CACAACAAUAUUCCACCUCAGCAUUCACAAAGACCCCUGCUCUCUCCCCUUGGCCCACCGCUGGACCCCCUCAACUAUCCAUGAGCUGAGUUUCAGCAGUAGCUGCUGACACUAAUGAUUCUGAGGCUUCGGAGGUGUGGCCUCUCUGGGGCUAUAUUUGUGCUGGCUCCACUCUCACCAGGCUUGAGUACAUUGUCUCUCUAGCAGGAGAUGCUGUUUUUGAGAACCACACUCAGACAAUGGAGUGACUCCAUAAGAGAGUUACCAGGAAGAAGAGAAAAUCAAGACUCAGUGCAUUAGACUAUCAGUUAAAAAAAUAUGAAUGAAGAUAAUACUUUUUGGUACAAAUCUAUGAUCCUAUGUGGUCACUAACUUCAAGGAUUCAAAGGGCUAUCUGAUGGAAGAUCAUAAAUUUAGUACUGUAGAGGACUUUAGAGGCCAUCCAGAUCAAGCUAAUUUUGCAGUAAAGGAAAAUAAAAAGAGAAAGAUUAGAUAACAUCCUCAUGAGCACAUAAGAACUAAAGUAAGAUUUUGAAUUUAGAUCCUCUAAUAGCCUAUAGCAGAAAGCCCUUCUAGGAAUUCUGUCACAGGGGAUUGAUAUUCAUUUUGUGUAUUUUAUCACCCCAACCUUGAUUAACUUCUGCCCCUUUCUUUCUUUCUCCCCUGGAAACCUUCUAUCUCUUUUUCUGUCACCAUAUCCAUGUCACUCUUCCCUUAUUUUUCCUUCCCCUCAUUUUGCCUCCCCUCUGUUCCUCUCUCAUUUUCCCCUUUCUAUCCUGUUUUCUAUUGCUUUCUACUUGUUUCUCUUUUUAAAAUUAUAUUUUAUGUUCAUCAAAUUUCUAUAAGUAGGUGAGUGACUUGUUCCAUUUUUAUUCUUUGGGACUUGUCAUUUUUCAUGGAGUUUAUCACUGUUUUAUCUUUCCCCUGUAAUGUGGAUUUCAUUAUCUGAAUUCUCUUAAUUCUCCUCACUUCUAUCUAUAAUAGUUCAUAGAGGUUUUUCAAUUUUCCUCUGUAACUGCCCUUUUAAUCA
This is a long non-coding RNA of Dromiciops gliroides (monito del monte), 1030 nucleotides long. RefSeq lists it as uncharacterized. Lineage: Eukaryota; Metazoa; Chordata; Mammalia; Microbiotheria; Microbiotheriidae. The transcript has 3 exons. The record is from RefSeq and is a predicted model, not a curated record.